UACGUAGAUCCCGAGCGUUGUCCGGAUUUAUUGGGCGUAAAGCGAGCGCAGGUGGUUUAUUAAGUCUGGUGUAAAAGGCAGUGGCUCAACCAUUGUAUGCAUUGGAAACUGGUAGACUUGAGUGCAGGAGAGGAGAGUGGAAUUCCAUGUGUAGCGGUGAAAUGCGUAGAUAUAUGGAGGAACACCGGUGGCGAAAGCGGCUCUCUGGCCUGUGACUGACACUGAGGCUCGAAAGCGUGGGGAGCAAACAGG
This 252-nucleotide ribosomal RNA is filed under the name uncultured bacterium. Its description in RNAcentral is "partial 16S ribosomal RNA". It matches the Rfam family "Bacterial small subunit ribosomal RNA", at positions 524 to 776 of the family's 1533-position model. The record is from RNAcentral.